CUACGGGUUGCUCCAGUGGGGAAUAUUGGACAAUGGGGGAAACCCUGAUCCAGCAAUGCCGCGUGUGUGAAGAGGGCCUGCGGGUUGUAAAGCACUUUCGGUUGGGAGGACUGCUUCCAGCACUAAUAUUGUUGGAAGUUGACGUUACCUUCAGAAGAAGCACCGGCUAACUCCGUGCCAGCAGCCGCGGUAAUACGGAGGGUGCAAGCGUUAAUCGGAAUUACUGGGCGUAAAGCGCGCGUAGGCGGCUAGAUCAGUCGGGUGUGAAAGCCCCGGGCUUAACCUGGGAACUGCAUCCGAUACUGUCUAGCUUGAGUACAGGAGAGGAGAGUGGAAUUCCACAUGUAGCGGUGAAAUGCGUAGAUAUGUGGAAGAACACCAAUGGCGAAGGCAGCUCUCUGGCCUGAUACUGACGCUGAGGUGCGAAAGCGUGGGUAGCAAACAGGAUUAGAUACCCCAGUAGUC
RNAcentral lists this ribosomal RNA (465 nucleotides) under uncultured bacterium. RNAcentral describes it as "partial 16S ribosomal RNA". It matches the Rfam family "Bacterial small subunit ribosomal RNA", at positions 339 to 795 of the family's 1533-position model. The record is from RNAcentral.